AACGAACGCUGGCGGCAUGCCUAACACAUGCAAGUCGAACGAGACCUUCGGGUCUAUUUGCGCAGGGGUGCGGAACGCGUGGGAAGCUGCCUUUAGGUUCGGAAUAACUCAGAGUAAUUUGAGCUAAUACCGGAUGAUGUCUUCGGACCAAGGAUUUAUCGCUUUUAGAUGGGCCCGCGUUGGAUUAGCUAGUUGGUGGGGUAAAGGCCUGCCAAGGCGACGAUCCAUAGCUGGUCUGAGAGGAUGAUCAGCCAGGAUGGGAAUGAGACACGGCCCAGACUCCUACGGGAGGAUGCGGUGGGGAAUAUUGGAGAAUGGGCGAAAGCGUGAUCCAGCCAUGCCGCGUGAGUGAUGCAUGCCUUAGGGUUGUAAAGCUCUUUUGCCCGAGAUGAUAAUGACAGUAGCGGGAGAAUAAGCGCCGGCUAACUACGUG
This 433-nucleotide ribosomal RNA is filed under the name uncultured bacterium. RNAcentral describes it as "partial 16S ribosomal RNA". It matches the Rfam family "Bacterial small subunit ribosomal RNA", at positions 29 to 507 of the family's 1533-position model. The record is from RNAcentral.